ACCGGGUGUGGUGGUGCAUGCCUGUAAUCCCAGCUACUCAGGAGGCUGAGGUGGGAGAUCACUUGAGCCCAGGAGGUUGAGGCUGCUGUGAAAUGUGAUCAUGCCACUGCACUCCAACCUGGGCAACAGAGUGAGAUCCCGUCUCAA
This is an unclassified non-coding RNA of Pongo abelii (Sumatran orangutan), 147 nucleotides long. It matches the Rfam family "Metazoan signal recognition particle RNA". Rfam says of the family: The signal recognition particle (SRP) is a universally conserved ribonucleoprotein. NCBI's taxonomy places the organism in Eukaryota, Metazoa, Chordata, Mammalia, Primates, Hominidae. The record is from Ensembl.